GCAGCUGCUAUCAUGCAGUGAGCGGACGAUGGGAGCUUGCUCCCUGAUGUUAGCGGCGGACGGGUGAGUAACACGUGGGUAACCUGCCUGUAAGACUGGGAUAACUCCGGGAAACCGGGGCUAAUACCGGAUGGUUGUCUGAACCGCAUGGUUCAGACAUAAAAGGUGGCUUCGGCUACCACUUACAGAUGGACCCGCGGCGCAUUAGCUAGUUGGUGAGGUAACGGCUCACCAAGGCGACGAUGCGUAGCCGACCUGAGAGGGUGAUCGGCCACACUGGGACUGAGACACGGCCCAGACUCCUACGGGAGGCAGCAGUAGGGAAUCUUCCGCAAUGGACGAAAGUCUGACGGAGCAACGCCGCGUGAGUGAUGAAGGUUUUCGGAUCGUAAAGCUCUGUUGUUAGGGAAGAACAAGUGCCGUUCAAAUAGGGCGGCACCUUGACGGUACCUAACCAGAAAGCCACGGCUAACUACGUGCCAGCAGCCGCGGUAAUACGUAGGUGGCAAGCGUUGUCCGGAAUUAUUGGGCGUAAAGGGCUCGCAGGCGGUUUCUUAAGUCUGAUGUGAAAGCCCCCGGCUCAACCGGGGAGGGUCAUUGGAAACUGGGGAACUUGAGUGCAGAAGAGGAGAGUGGAAUUCCACGUGUAGCGGUGAAAUGCGUAGAGAUGUGGAGGAACACCAGUGGCGAAGGCGACUCUCUGGUCUGUAACUGACGCUGAGGAGCGAAAGCGUGGGGAGCGAACAGGAUUAGAUACCCUGGUAGUCCACGCCGUANACGAUGAGUGCUAAGUGUUAGGGGGUUUCCGCCCCUUAGUGCUGCAGCUAACGCAUUAAGCACUC
RNAcentral lists this ribosomal RNA (842 nucleotides) under unidentified. Its description in RNAcentral is "bacterial SSU rRNA". It matches the Rfam family "Bacterial small subunit ribosomal RNA", at positions 42 to 869 of the family's 1533-position model. The record is from RNAcentral.